AGAACUAGGGUAUGUAUCCAGAAAGC
This 26-nucleotide non-coding RNA is filed under the name Cricetulus griseus (Chinese hamster). The record is from RNAcentral. Lineage: Eukaryota; Metazoa; Chordata; Mammalia; Rodentia; Cricetidae.